RNAcentral lists this ribosomal RNA (468 nucleotides) under uncultured bacterium. RNAcentral describes it as "partial 16S ribosomal RNA". It matches the Rfam family "Bacterial small subunit ribosomal RNA", at positions 28 to 507 of the family's 1533-position model. The record is from RNAcentral.
GACGAACGCUGGCGGCGUGCUUAACACAUGCAAGUCGAACGGAAAGACCCUGCUUUUGUGGGGUGCUCGAGUGGCGAACGGGUGAGUAACACGUGAGUAACCUGCCCUUGACUUUGGGAUAACUUCAGGAAACUGGGGCUAAUACCGGAUAGGAGCUCCUGCUGCAUGGUGGGGGGUGGAAAGUUUCGGCGGUUGGGGAUGGACUCGCGGCUUAUGAGCUUGUUGGUGGGGUAGUGGCUUACCAAGGCUUUGACGGGUAGCCGGCCUGAGAGGGUGACCGGCCACAUUGGGACUGAGAUACGGCCCAGACUCCUACGGGAGGCAGCAGUGGGGAAUAUUGCACAAUGGGCGGAAGCCGGAUGAAGCAACGCCGCGUGCGUGAUGACGGCCUUCGGGUUGUAAACCGCUUUCGCCUGUGACGAAGCGUGAGUGACGGUAAUGGGUAAAGAAGCACCGGCUAACUACGUG